Molecule: long non-coding RNA, 6134 nt
Filed under: Homo sapiens (human)
Lineage: Eukaryota; Metazoa; Chordata; Mammalia; Primates; Hominidae
Description: non-protein coding lnc-DNAAF5-3:12
Source: RNAcentral
GUGCGGACCCGGCAGGGCCCGGGCGCCGCCGCCGCGGCAGGGAGCACACACGCGCUCGCGCAAGCAGCUAAAUCCAUCAAAGCCCCGCGCCCGGCUCCGCGCCGGGGCUCCGCGCCCCUCCCUCGAGCUUGCCCACCCUCCAGUGCCAGCUGCAAUCCUGCGGCACCGGGUGGGGAGGGAGGAGGCCGCCGCAGAAGCGCCGCCGUCGCCGGCUCGCCUCUCUCGGGCCCCAGCGGCGGCAGCGGGCAGCGCCCAGAGCUGCUGCGCCAAAAAGGGCCAGAGAGCCGGUCCCCGCCCCCGCCCCGGCGCUCCGGCCGCUCUCCACGGUUCGGAUCCAGGGCCCCAGCCUUCCUCUCUCCAUAAAAGGAGGGGGAGUCAGUCUUUGGGGAAGGAGGGGGGCGGGUUUGGGGCACUCACCUGGCGGCUGCCACGCGCCCCCGCCCAGGAUCCGAGGCCUGGGGCAUCUGAAUGAGGACCCUCCACCCACAUUUCCACUUGGGAGCGAGCUCCAGUCGGGGAAAGGGCCUGCAGCCCGCCUCGUCCCCACCCUGGGACCCCGCGCCCCCCAGUCCCCCACUCCCGCGCCGAAGGCAGGGCCGCGCCCUGAGCCGGGAAGUCGAGGGGAUGGAAGGGAAAGGAGCCACCGGUGAGGGUCCCCCGGGUUCUGAGCCUCCCGCGUCGGGAUCCGUGGGGCGCACAGAGCGCCACCUCCGGCCGAGGCGCAGCUCAGAGCGCGAUGCGGGGGAGGAACGCGCGCGGAGGCCGAGGUCUGAGCGUGGCUAGACGGCUCCCACGCCGAGAAAGGGCGGGUGCGCCUGGGCUGGAUGGAUUUCGCCUCCCUAGACCAGGAGGGAUUGGACCCUGACUACAGGUCCAGGUGCUCGUCAGUGCCCUGCCAGGGGGUCUACGCGUCCUGGUACCGGGUCCAGCGGGGUGGCGUGCUGUGCAGACCCCGAGGCUAGACGGCCUAGGCCCCUGGAGCCCAGGAGACGCUUCCUUGGGUGAGCAGCGGAGAAUCCCGCCCGGCCCAGCCGUCACCCCCAACCCUGUCGAUUAAACCCCUGCCCCCGUCGCGGUCGCCCUCCCUCCAGACAAAGGCCGUUAAGGCGCAGCCCCGCGGGCGGUCUUUCAUCCCCAGCUAGGCCAGCUCUAGCAUUUCAAAGGCCGAAUCCGGAGAGCGCUUCGGGGGCUCUCCCCUUCCCCCAAAUAUUUGGGGAGCGACGCCUCUCCCUCCGCUCCCAGUGGGUCGCGUCUACACGCGCCCUUCCACACACCUGCAGGCCCCCUCCCCACGUCUCUCCCUUCCGUUGGCCGCAGCCCCACACCACGACCCCCGCGGUCAAGCAUGCCCUCUGGGUGGUCAGGACCAAGCGGGACCGGGACAGAACCAGGGGAGCCUUGGAAACGUGGAGGAGCCCCUUAAAGCCAGGCCUUGUCCCUCCAGGGGGAACUUGCGGCUUGGGAGGGGACACCCACUGCAUGGCUUCUGGAAAGAGCCGGACUCGCAGGGCCAGGACGCAGGCCGGACCCCGGCCUCAUUCUUCGGCCAGUUAUCCCGGAGUGGCGCGCAUCCUGUCUUCCUGGGCCUCGGACUGCUCGCGCGCAGAGGGGGCCCGAGGACACCUCUGUGGGGUUAGAGGACUCGGUAAGACGGUGUGGAAGGCAAGGAGGAAGGUCGCGUUGUAUUGGGGAUGGGGUACCCGUCCCUCCCAGCUUGAGGGAUCCUGGGGGUCCUCGCCGCCUCUGAGGGCCUAGAUGGCUGCUUCCCUCGGCUCCCCUGCCCGGCCUGGAGCUACGGGUGCGCCCAGCUAGAGUUUAGGGCCACCUGGGGACGUGCAAGGGGCGCUGGAGCGAGGCGGGGGCUGGGGCGGGGCGUGGGUGCUUCACCCGCGGGGGACGCAGAGCUUAGGCGAAAGCGGUGCAGGCAUCUCUCUAAUCGCCGGCCGCUAUUAAAAAUAAAACCGCGACCCGUCGCCAUGGCGACCACAACAACAGCGGCCGCGCGAGGGAGGCGAAAACUUGUGCAGCCGCGCGACAGCCGCCUUCUGGGGAGACUCGGGGCACGACGCACCCGGCGUGGGACUGGGACCCCCCUGCCCGGCCCCGCCACAUUCUCCGCCGGAUCCCCGGAAGACACAAGGAGACGUGGACCCCCACAGGCUUUUUUGGGGGGAUUGGGCGUUGAAACCGCAGGGCUGACUUAACCAAGAGGUCACCGACUUGGAUAAAAAACCCACGCCCGCGCGGACCCCCCUCCCCGGCCUUCGUUUCCAUUCAAACUCCCAGCGUCCUCAUUGCAGCCCCUGGGGAGGGGGACGGAGGGACGAGGUGGGUUUCAGGUGCUCGGCCCAGGAGGGGACGGUGCGACCCGGGCCCCGCCGGCGGGUUUUGCGCGCGGAGGCUGCGGCACCUGCCCCGCCCGCCCUGCCGCGAUCCUUGCAGACGGGGGCGGUCACAUGCUUCUUUCUGGCCAGGAAUCGAGUUUCACUUCCAGCCGCUAUUAGUCGGUUCACACAGUUCACUGCAAACAUUUGAUAAUGAGGCUAAAUAUACUCCCGCGUCGGAGGAGGCGUGGGCGUCCCCGCCCAGGCCCGGGAGACAGAGGCGCUGACCCCGGGACAGAGCCUGGCUUUGUGCGGGAGGCAGACGCGCCCCGCGCGCCGCCCCCGAAACAUUCGCACCCCAUGCUGAGGCGCGCGUCUGGGAGUCCGUGGGCGCCCCGAGCGACGUCGAUGGCGCCAGGUGCCAAGCUCUUUCCUUGUAUAAUUUCAUGGACACUCACGCAUCAACUCUAAGCGAAGACUUGGAGCGGGGCUCAGCACCCCAGGGGUACCUCUGCAACCUCGGUAAAUAUAGACUAUCCUCAAUUCGCAGGGGCAUUUGUACGUGGGGUGUACAGGCAGGAACAGGAAAGACGCUGUGGCCACCCAGGAGUAGGGGCGGCAGCCAACACCCCCUGGAUCCCCAGUUCCAAGGUGCAGGGAGGGGGGCAGAGGCCAGUUCCCUCCGCUCUCUGCCCCUUGACCUUGGCCUUGGUGAGCUCUGUCCCUAGACUGCCCUGGGUGUCUGUUCCCUCAUCUGAAAAGCGUGAGGCCCACAGCCGUCACUGCACACAGCUGCCGUCACUGCACACAGCUGCCUCCACUGUCGGGAAGCCUCCCUCCUGCCCACCUGCCCAGGAAAAGCUGCGCUAGCGUGCCCUGGGCAAGCGCCCUGCUGGCCACCUGCCUGCACCUGGGUUGGGGGUGGGGGGACCAGCUGAGCACCCAAAUCCUGGCCUCUGCCCCCAGCGCCAGAGCAGAUUUCAGAACAAUUUGUAAUGACGAAACCCCACGUUUCCCUUUAUCUCUGGGCAAGGCUUUCUUCGUCCUAGGCAAUUAAUCCAAAAGCAACACCAGCCGAGUGGGCUGGACUCCUUGAAGAUCAAAACUGCCCAGCGCAGGCAUUAAUUAAGUCAUUAUCUCAGGCCCCCAGCGACUAGGGAUCAGGCCUUUCCAGUUCACACUCUCCAGAAAGGGAGAUAACUGCCCCGCCAGCAGGGUGGGAAGGCUCUCUCUCCAUGUUGUUUUAACUCCCUAUUAAAUCAUUUUAUUUUAAAUACACAAACAGAAAUGAAGUUGAAAAUAGCACAGGAGCCCACUAUCACUGUGUGAACAUUUUGUGAAUGAAGACAUGUAUGAAAGGAUGUUUGGAGGCUUCAAGAAACGAAAGCCGAGAGUCUAGCUAGACCAGAGCCAUCCAGCCCAGGAGCGAUGGCCACGUGUGGCCGCUGGACACGAGAGACGUGGCCAGUCCAAACUGUGCAGUGCGGUUGAAAAAAACAUUUUGGAUAUAUGGUGUUAAAUAAACAUGAUUACAAUGACUUUCGCUGUCAGCCUCCCGGAGGCUCAUUUUGCUCCUCUGGGCCACAGCCAGCUCAGAGGGUUGCUCUAGGAAAUAUCUACACGUUCUUGAAGCACAGGUUUAUGUGCCAGGCACUGUACUAAGUGCUGGGGACACGGCGUUAAGACCAGGCCCUCACGGAGCCCUCACUCUCUGAGGAGGAACAAUAAGUCAGAGAGCGCGCGAGUGCAGCCCUUCAGGCAAAGGAUUUCAGGCCCAGGUCAGGAAGGCCUUGUCUGAGGAGUCUGAGAAGAAGUCAAUUGACAACAGCUAGAACAUCUAGGUCAGGCACUCCAGGCCGACACGACAAAGCAGGUGCAAAGGCCCCAGGGCGGGAACCAGCGUGGCUUGUUCACAGAACAAGGAGGUAGAUCGCUUGCCCUUGGGACCAAAGGAAGGCUCUGGAUUUUAUUCUAGGGGCAGUGGAAGCCGUUGGAGGGCCUCAGGCAGGAACACAAGGUGUCGUGGCAGAAAGGAAGAAGGGGCCGGGCACGGUGGCCCACACCCGUCAUCCCAGCACUUUGGGAGGGAGGCCAAGGCAGGAGGAUCGCUUCAAUCCAGGAGUUCAAGAUCAGCCUGGGCAACACAGCAAGACCCCGUCUCUACUAAAACCCUAAAACUUAGCCAGGCUUGGUGGCAUGUGCCUAAGGUCCCAGGUCCUCGGGAGACUAAGGCAGGAGGAUUGCUUAAGCCCAAGAGUUUGAGGCUGCAGUGAACUAUUAUCACACCACUGCACUCAGCCUGGGUGACAGAGUGACUCUGUCUCAAAACUAAAUAAAUAAACAAUAAUUGUGUUAUUCUGUCUCCAUUUCUCGCAUACUGAAUUUAAGGUGGACUCAGCCAGCGGGUUCAGGCCCAGGGUCUGUCCUGCAGCUACAGUCAGGGUUGGUGGCUGCAGCUGUCAUGGGGGAGCGGUGAGGUUGGGGGAACAGGGGGGCUGGCCUGCAUCCCCCACUUUCAGGUGGGCUCAACUCCGUCUCGUGGCCUAUUGGGGGCCAGCAUGGGCUUCCUUACAGCAUGGAGGCCUCCAGGGUCAAGCUGCCUCUGGGAUGGCAGAGGGCUUUGUGUUCGUGCUCCCACGCCCACAGUGGAGGCAAUACACCCUUUCCAGAUCUAGCAGUACAGGUGCGCAGCACCACACCUCUGUACGCUCUCAGCCUAAGCUGUCCCCAGCCCUCCUGGCCUCUGGAGGAGGGGACGCAGAAACUCCAUCCCGGACAGAGGGAGAGCCAGUGUGUGCACAGGCAGCUUCUAACACUGCUUCGUGGUUUCACACGGCUCCCUCAUGGAGAAGGGGCUGGAGGAGGACAGGGAGGUGUGCAGUCAUCUGGGUGACAUAUGAGGGUGGCUGGGCUUCCAGAUGGCUGCAGUGGAGACCGUAAGAAGAGUGCACGAGGUAAGGCUUCCGAAACGCCCAGCAGGUUCCUGGCAGCUGCAGACAACUCAAUUCUUAGCACUUGCCAAUAGCUGGGGUGUAAACACUCCCGCCGUCGCUAUUUCGGGCUAUGCUCCUUGCCUCCACUGGGUCUGGCUCUUAAAACAGCAAGAAAGCAACUCGGAAGCUGAGUCAGCCCCGUCUCUCCACCGUGCCCACAGAUCCUUCCCUGUUCCAGAGCUCCCGUUGGCAGCCAGCUGGGCUUCUCAGGGGGCAUCUCCAGUCCUGUGCAGUCAGAGAAAACCAGGGAAGCAUCUUGAUCUCACCUAGAAAUUAAGGCCAUCACAUCCAACACCUGCAUUUUACAGAAAACCACUGAUGAUGUGCAGGAGAAUCACAGCUGGGAAGAAACACAGGAGGACCUUUUCCUUCAUCACCAACCAUGCCCCCCCCCAGCCUCCACCCCCGCCCCGAGGGAGAGGCCUGGGGAGCACAGGCUACUUUCUGAGCUUCCGGAAGUUGCAGGUCAACCUGGCGGCAAUUUGGCACCAGGAGCCACCAGUGUGGCCGCGGCCCCUGACCCUGUAAUCCCACAUCGGGCACCCAGCCUAAGAAAACGACACGUUUGCUUCAAGGGCUCAGAGCACCAGGAUUUAAAACAGCAACUAGGAACAACCUAAGAUCCUAGGUGCUCCGAGAUCAAGAUGCCAGAAAAUAAAUCAAAUCAAAUCAAAUCCCAGGCGCAAACGGCCCUCGUGUUCUUACCCCUCCUCUCGCUGUUGGAAAUCGCGGCUCCAUUUAUGGGUGGACAGAAAGACAGCCUCCUAGCACCGGGCUUAUAGCUUCCACGCCCUGUUCUUCUCCAAGCCCUCGCCCG